RNAcentral lists this transfer RNA (84 nucleotides) under Candidatus Sutterella merdavium. RNAcentral's name for it is "tRNA-Leu". It matches the Rfam family "tRNA". Rfam says of the family: Transfer RNA (tRNA) molecules are approximately 80 nucleotides in length. Their secondary structure includes four short double-helical elements and three loops (D, anti-codon, and T loops). Lineage: Bacteria; Pseudomonadati; Pseudomonadota; Betaproteobacteria; Burkholderiales; Sutterellaceae. The record is from RNAcentral.
CCCCGGGUGGCGGAAUGGUAGACGCAGCGGAUUCAAAAUCCGCCGGGUAAAACCGUGUGAGUUCGAGUCUCACCUCGGGGACCA